RNAcentral lists this ribosomal RNA (497 nucleotides) under uncultured bacterium. RNAcentral describes it as "partial 16S ribosomal RNA". It matches the Rfam family "Bacterial small subunit ribosomal RNA", at positions 28 to 507 of the family's 1533-position model. The record is from RNAcentral.
GAUGAACGCUGGCGGCGUGCCUAAUACAUGCAAGUCGAGCGAACAGAUGAGGAGCUUGCUCCUCUGACGUUAGCGGCGGACGGGUGAGUAACACGUGGAUAACCUACCUAUAAGACUGGGAUAACUUCGGGAAACCGGAGCUAAUACCGGAUAAUAUAUUGAACCGCAUGGUUCAAUAUUGAAAGACGGUUUUGCUUUCCCUUAUAGAUGGAUCCGCGCCGCAUUAGCUAGUUGGUAAGGUAACGGCUUACCAAGGCAACGAUGCGUAGCCGACCUGAGAGGGUGAUCGGCCACACUGGAACUGAGACACGGUCCAGACUCCUACGGGAGGCAGCAGUAGGGAAUCUUCCGCAAUGGGCGAAAGCCUGACGGAGCAACGCCGCGUGAGUGAUGAAGGUCUUCGGAUCGUAAAACUCUGUUAUUAGGGAAGAACAAAUGUGUAAGUGACUAUGCACGUCUUGACGGUACCUAAUCAGAAAGCCACGGCUAACUACGUG